RNAcentral lists this ribosomal RNA (419 nucleotides) under uncultured bacterium. RNAcentral's name for it is "bacterial SSU rRNA". It matches the Rfam family "Bacterial small subunit ribosomal RNA", at positions 503 to 920 of the family's 1533-position model. The record is from RNAcentral.
AAGUGUCAGCCGCCGCGGUAAUACGUAGGGGGCGAGCGUUGUCCGAAUUUACUGGGCGUAAAGCGCGCGUAGGCGGACCUUUAAGUGGAGGGUGAAAUCUUGGGGCUCAACCCCAAAACUGCCUUCCAAACUGGAGGACUUGAGGUAUGGAGAGGGAAGUGGAAUUCCUGGUGUAGCGGUGAAAUGCGUAGAUAUCAGGAGGAACACCCGUGGCGAAGGCGGCUUCCUGGCCAUAUCCUGACGCUGAGGUGCGAAAGCUAGGGGAGCGAACGGGAUUAGAUACCCCGGUAGUCCUAGCCGUAAACGAUGGAUACUAGGUGUUAGUGGUAUCGACCCCACUAGUGCCGCAGCUAACGCAAUAAGUAUCCCGCCUGGGGAGUACGGCCGCAAGGUUGAAACUUAAAGGAAUUGGCGGGGGA